GAUCCUGGCUCAGGAUGAACGCUGGCGGNGUGCUUAACACAUGCAAGUCGAACGGGAAACAUUUCAUUGAGGCUUCGGCGGAUUUGGUCUGUUUCUAGUGGCGGACGGGUGAGUAACGCGUGGGUAACCUGCCUUAUACUGGGGGAUAACAGCCAGAAAUGGCUGCUAAUACCGCAUAAGCGCACGGGGCCGCAUGGCCCUGUGUGAAAAACUCCGGUGGUAUAAGAUGGACCCGCGUUGGAUUAG
This 246-nucleotide ribosomal RNA is filed under the name uncultured bacterium. Its description in RNAcentral is "partial 16S ribosomal RNA". It matches the Rfam family "Bacterial small subunit ribosomal RNA", at positions 15 to 244 of the family's 1533-position model. The record is from RNAcentral.